This 1941-nucleotide long non-coding RNA is filed under the name Homo sapiens (human). RNAcentral's name for it is "long non-coding RNA NONHSAT179873.1". Lineage: Eukaryota; Metazoa; Chordata; Mammalia; Primates; Hominidae. The record is from RNAcentral.
CUCUUUUCUAUACAGAACUCAGCCCUGCCUCACGGAAGCUUUUCCAGGCAGUGCGAGAUAGAGGAGCGCUUGAGAAGGCAGGUUUUGCAGCAGACGGCAGUGACAGCCCAGUUCUGCACCUUCUUUGCUGAGUCACUGUGGGCCAGUGACUUGAUCUGAGAUUGUUUCCCCAUCAGAACCAUGAGGUUAUCAUCUGUGCCUUGGGGCUGUUCAUCUAUCUAUUCACUUGACACACACACAUCCACCUUUCUAUACCAGCUGCAGCGCCACCUGCUGGUACCGUGAGCAAGAGCUGGGCAUGCCCACGGUUCCGGUGCCCUGCAGUCUGGUGGGAGAGGCAGGUAGGGGUCGACUCAGGUAGCAAACCUGAAACUCCAGGGGAAGGAAGCGUUUCUGCAACUGUGAGUACAUAGGACUGUGAGGAGAGACUUCCCGAGAAAGGAUGUUCGGGCUAGCGUUAAGGGUGAGCGUGAGUUCACCAGAGAAGGAAGGGGAGACCAGUCCAGGGCAAGGAGAAUGCACAGACACUGGCAGGAAGGUGAGCGUGGGGACACUGGGAAAGGCCUGGGACACGCAGCCAAGAGCCGCGGCUCAGACGCUAGCAGGGCCCGCUCUUGCUGCCUCUACCACCAGUUGACGAGGAGUUUGGACCUUAGGCUGGGGGACGCCAGCAAAGGCUUCUAAGCAGAUCACAUUUUUGGGUGGAAAGAUCAUUGGCUUCGGGUUUCUGUGAGGGCGAGGAUGAUUGGAAGGGAGGGUUUUGAGGAGGCUGUGAAGUGCGCUAUGGUUAAGAUGAUGCGCUUUGGGGCCAGACAUGGGUUCCAGUAACGGCUGUUGCCUAGCGAACGCUUUGUGUGAGUUAAUUAGAGAAGACGUGGCUGUCUUGUGAUGGGAGUGCGCGGGAUGAACUGCACGGGGGGACCCGGCCCUGUGAACACUAAGCCAGGGGCUGCCUUCCUGCCCUUUGCUCUUGGAGUCGGCUCAUUUCUGCUCCUCCGGGCCCUGUCCCUGCCCAGAUUCACCCUCUGUCCGUCUGCCCUGCCCCAGGAGGAGGCCUCGGUGGUACCAGAAGAGGAGGGGCUGAUGUGAACAUCCGGCAUUCAGGCCGCGAUGACACCUCCCGCUACGAUGAGAGGCCCGGCCCCUCCCCGCUUCCGCACAGGGACCGGGACCGGGACCGUGAGCGGGAGCGCAGAGAGCGGAGCCGGGAGCGAGACAAGGAGCGAGAACGGCGACGCUCCCGCUCCCGGGACCGGCGGAGGCGCUCACGGAGUCGCGACAAGGAGGAGCGGAGGCGCUCCAGGGAGCGGAGCAAGGACAAGGACCGGGACCGGAAGCGGCGAAGCAGCCGGAGUCGGGAGCGGGCCCGGCGGGAGCGGGAGCGCAAGGAGGAGCUGCGUGGCGGCGGUGGCGACAUGGCGGAGCCCUCCGAGGCGGGUGACGCGCCCCCUGAUGAUGGGCCUCCAGGGGAGCUCGGGCCUGACGGCCCUGACGGUCCAGAGGAAAAGGGCCGGGAUCGUGACCGGGAGCGACGGCGGAGCCACCGGAGCGAGCGCGAGCGGCGCCGGGACCGGGAUCGUGACCGUGACCGUGACCGCGAGCACAAACGGGGGGAGCGGGGCAGUGAGCGGGGCAGGGAUGAGGCCCGAGGUGGGGGCGGUGGCCAGGACAACGGGCUGGAGGGUCUGGGCAACGACAGCCGAGACAUGUACAUGGAGUCUGAGGGCGGCGACGGCUACCUGGCUCCGGAGAAUGGGUAUUUGAUGGAGGCUGCGCCGGAGUGAAGAGGUCGUCCUCUCCAUCUGCUGUGUUUGGACGCGUUCCUGCCCAGCCCCUUGCUGUCAUCCCCUCCCCCAACCUUGGCCACUUGAGUUUGUCCUCCAAGGGUAGGUGUCUCAUUUGUUCUGGCCCCUUGGAUUUAAAAAUAAAAUUAAUUUCCUG